Ixodes scapularis (black-legged tick) is the source of this 949-nucleotide long non-coding RNA. RefSeq lists it as uncharacterized. The transcript is spliced from 5 exons. The record is from RefSeq and is a predicted model, not a curated record. Lineage: Eukaryota; Metazoa; Arthropoda; Arachnida; Ixodida; Ixodidae.
CAGACCUGCCGGCAGACUUCCGAGCUAAGCCUGAUUAAACAAAAACGUUUGAUCCGGCGGAAUAAUGUGUUUGAUAUUACAUCCCAUGUCAACAAGGAACUGCGCUGUCUGUCUUCGCCCCCAACAGGUUUUAUUCUUCCGGGUUUUUCAAAUCUUUACCAACCCGCGUCCGAUCGUAAUACCCCGAUCACAACAAAUAGUUGAUCGUGCUCCGAUGGCUCCAAACAUCAGCCGGCAAGGAAGUUACGUUUUUCGCUUCUAUAUUUUGACCCAAGUGAUGGCUGGUCGUGGUUCAUCAGCGUUUGUUUUGAAACUGAUGGGUACCACAAGGCAUGAAGGAGGUGACUUGCAGCAGCAAGGCACUGCAAGCCUUCGCAGCAACUGGCUAGCCAGUGCUGCUCUGUUCUGAACUGCACUGCGUGUCAUGCGGAGGUUUUGUGCAAGCUCUCUGGGCGGCGACGCUAGCCACGAUUGGCUUCGUGGAUGCACAGAAAUACUCAAGGCGCUUGACGUCUGUGGCUCAUCUGUAUUGUUUUUCCCGGUACCACGGCAUGAAGGAGCUGGCCUCCCUCCCUUCCAUCAGCUGCGAGAUACUACAAGCACUGGGCUACAGCUGCAGCUAGCCCAUGGGUACCGGGGACCAUGACAUCAGUGAGCUGGCUUUCACCUUGUCCAAGGCAGCAGCGGAACACUACGGGCGGGACCCUGGAUCACUGCACCAUGGAUGCCGUCCUGUACCCUGCACGGCACUGCGUGUGGCUUAAGUGGCCAAGCAGAGGGUCAUUGCAUGACUUUUAUGAGGCGCCGCUAGCCAUUGUUUCAAACCACCCUGAAUCGUGGAUCAAGCCUUGCAAGAUGGAAGUUCUCUUUAGGCCCAGCGCCUCUUGAUGGAUCAAGUCUUGUACCCCAUUCCCUCGUGUCUUUCAUAUAAGUAAAUUGUUGGUAUUUC